AUUUCUGACUCGGGAGAAAAUAUAAUCAUUCUGUGAAAACAAUAUGCACUGCAAUUGAAAUCUACAGAUGCAAAGAGAUGAAGUGCAAAGUAACACCUAAAGGUGUAUUUUGGAGAUUUUCUUUCUGGAAUCGUCUAGUCUGAAAAAAAAAAAAACUACUUUAUCUACAAUAAAUAAAUAAAUAAAAAAUAAAAUCAAAACUAAUCAAUGCAUGAAAAACCAUGAUUUUGCCUGUAGUGUCUGGCCUUAAAAUGAAACGCAAAAGUCUGAGUCUCGCUGUAUCGCUCAGGCUGCACUGCAGUGUCUAUUCACAGGUGCGACCCCACUACUGAUCGGCACGGGGGCUUUGACCUGCUCCGUCUCCGACCUGGGCCGGUUCACCCCUCCUUAGACGACCUGGUGGUCCCGAGCUCCCCCAGGAGCACCAUAUCGAUACCGAACUUAGCGCGGACACCCGAUCGACAUAGUCCACUGCAGCCCAGAACCCCUGAACUCAAGCGAUCCGCCAGCCUCAGCCUCCCAGCAGCUUGGAUUACAGGAGCACCAUAUCGAUACCGAACUUAGCGCGGACACCCGAUCGACAUAGUCCACUGCAGCCCAGAACCCCUGAACUCAAGCGAUCCGCCAGCCUCAGCCUCCCAGCAGCUUGGAUUACAGGCGCGCGCCACUGCACCCGGCGAGAGCUACGAGCACCAGCGCUGCUACUCAAUCUAGUGCUCACUGCGCCCUCUAGUGCAGCACAGUAGAAAUUAGUUUUUAAACUUGUUACAUUUUCACAAGUCACUGGUACGUUUACAAAGAUCAUCAAAACUGUGCUUUUAUAAAUGUUUCAACAUAAUUUUAAUCGACCACACCUAAUCGAUUUUCAUCUAGAUACGCCAUUCAUGUCAAGUAAUUGCCUUGCCUAAACCCGUUGAUAUAUUUUAACAUCUAACAUUGAAUCUAGUUUGCUCACAGCGCCCUCUAGUGUAUGAAUCAUGUAACCCCAUCUGAAGAGCGAAGAGCUUGCCGCUAUUCAGAGGGCAGAGACAGGUUUCAAAAACCCAGAGGGUGAGUAGAUGACAAGAUUUUCAUUUUUGAGUGAACUAUCCCUUUAACCCCUUAACUGUCACUCACAUUUUUGAACAUAGACUUGAAAGUGCACUUUCCAAACUAAAAUUUUUAUAAUUCAUGAACAAAAACAUUUUAUAACAUGAUAUUGAUGUACCAUUUUCGUGGUAAUGCAGUGUCUGAUUUUAAAAUGGGCUUUAAAGGAUGAAUUUUGAGAUUUUAAGUUUUCAGUUGAUAUAUCAUUUCUGAUUAUUUCUAAAGUGUGACAGAGAAAAAGGCAACGAAGAAGACUUUUUUUUUGACAAGGUCAGAACUCCUGUUAUGAUGUAGAUUUUUGAGGGUGCACUCUUGUCAUAAAUUAAUCUAUUACUUUUCCUACAUAAUUUUUAACAAAAAACAUUGGUAAAGUAUCUAUUUAGGAGUCUUAAACCUUUCCAACGAUAUAUAGUUUAUCGUGAUUAGAUAAGGAUUUAGUGAAGUAAACGUAGGCGUCCCGUAUACGGGACGGGGUGACAGUUAACAGGUUAAUAAUUAAAAAGCACAGUUUGGAGAAUGUGCAAGUUACAUAGGAUCAGGUAGUUUUAUUCCAGUCCAUCAUCGCACAUACAUGUUCAUUCACUUUACUGAAGUGAGA
Cyprinus carpio carpio is the source of this 1684-nucleotide long non-coding RNA. NCBI's taxonomy places the organism in Eukaryota, Metazoa, Chordata, Actinopteri, Cypriniformes, Cyprinidae. The record is from Ensembl.